CAGGAAAACGAGUGUGUUUUUCUGGCACUAUAGUGGUCCUUUAAAGGGAAGCUAUAGUGCCAGGAAAACAAACUUGUUUUCCUGGCACUUU
RNAcentral lists this microRNA precursor (91 nucleotides) under Pelobates cultripes (western spadefoot toad). Lineage: Eukaryota; Metazoa; Chordata; Amphibia; Anura; Pelobatidae. The record is from RNAcentral.